RNAcentral lists this small RNA (212 nucleotides) under Arabidopsis thaliana (thale cress). Its description in RNAcentral is "ATSL123850". The stretch from base 40 to 161 matches the Rfam family "MIR405 microRNA precursor family". The record is from RNAcentral. Lineage: Eukaryota; Viridiplantae; Streptophyta; Magnoliopsida; Brassicales; Brassicaceae.
UUUUAUAAUAAUAAUUAAUUAAAUUAUUACUUAAAUGGGUUAACCCAUUUAACGACUCAACCCAUCAAAUUAAAUGAGUUAUGGGUUGACUCAACCCAUUUAGCAAAAUGAGUUGGGUCAACCCAUAACUCAUUUAAUUCUAAACUCAUUUGAUUAUGAGUUGAGUUGAGUUGGGUUACCCAUUUUGACACCCCUAACUGCAGUAUAUGAUU